This 323-nucleotide ribosomal RNA is filed under the name uncultured eukaryote. RNAcentral's name for it is "partial 18S ribosomal RNA". It matches the Rfam family "Eukaryotic small subunit ribosomal RNA", at positions 1470 to 1796 of the family's 1831-position model. The record is from RNAcentral.
CCCUUAGAUGUUCUGGGCCGCACGCGCGCUACACUGACGGAGGCAGCGAGCAUGUCCUUCGCCGAGAGGUGUGGGGAAUCUUGUGAGUCUCCGUCGUGCUGGGGAUAGAUGGUUGCAAUUGUCGAUCUUGAACGAGGAAUUCCUAGUAAGCGCGAGUCAUCAGCUCGCGCUGAUUACGUCCCUGCCCUUUGUACACACCGCCCGUCGCUCCUACCGAUCGAAGAGUUAGGUGAAUUGUUUUGAUCGAUAAGAUUUGACUAUGGUCAACUCUCGUUGUGAAAUUCUGUGAAUCUGACUGUUUAGAGGAAGGAAAAGUCGUAACA